UUUCAGGCCAGUCACCUUCCCUGCAAAUCAAUCAGAAGUGCCCCAGGAAGCAGACGGGCGGUUCUGUAGCUCACAUGCAGAUCUGGCCAAAGGAUGACGGAAAGCCACUGCUGCCCAGCCAGACCGGACAGUUGGUAGAAACAAGGAACUGAUCCAUGUAUUACCAGUUCAAAAAGAAAAGGCGGAGGAGAGAAUGGCAGUAGAGUCAUGCUGGCCGGAAGUCACCUGCAAAUGACUCAGGAGCGGCAAGAAGAGGUUUUCUCAUUGAAUUCGCACAAUGACCUUGACAUAUGAAUUGCUCACCCUGCACAUAGAUGAGGAAACAGAGAAUCCCAAGUCCUGGAACCAGAAAUGGGUUACCUGAUCCCCCGACUCCGUGGCCCAUGUCUCUUAACGGCUGCACUAGAGGUCCCCUGGCUACACCAAAUGGUUUCCUGGCUAGGGUCAGAGCUGGGAUGACACUCGGGCCGGGGAUCUCUGCAUCAUACCCGUUGUCCUCUCAAAUAGUAGCCAACGGCUCUCCUGGACCGAUGGGGGUGUAGCCGGCAACAUCCAGAUGGUGGGAAACUCUUCACGUCUGCUACAAAGAAAUGGUAGUGAAAGGAAGGAUCCAGAAGGAAGUUCAGAAAUUUAAGAGACUGAAAAGACACAUGUCAUUAAAGAUGCACAAGCCUAAAUAAAAUAUAGGAGGCACAUCUGGGUAAGAAACUGCCAAAAGCUGAAGUCUUGAUUGCUCUACAAGGCAGGAGGAGAGCUCCCGUUGGGGGAGGGGUGUGGUUGGCACGGGGGCCCACAGAAGGGACCCAGGGAGUGCUGGGAAAUCUCUCUUGACCUGGGUAGCGACUACCGCCCCGUGUUCACCUUCCACUGAUCUGUUAAACCGUAUGUUUGCUUUGUGUGGUUUGUUUUAUUUUAAAAUUCAUUUUAUUGUUGUGUGUACUUGGGUUUUAUUUG
Long non-coding RNA from Neogale vison (American mink), 954 nucleotides. RefSeq lists it as uncharacterized. NCBI's taxonomy places the organism in Eukaryota, Metazoa, Chordata, Mammalia, Carnivora, Mustelidae. The record is from RefSeq and is a predicted model, not a curated record. The transcript has 4 exons.